Molecule: ribosomal RNA, 458 nt
Filed under: uncultured bacterium
Lineage: Bacteria
Description: partial 16S ribosomal RNA
Source: RNAcentral
GACUACCGGGGUAUCUAAGCCUGUUUGCUCCCCACACUUUCGCGCAUCAGUGUCAGUUACGGACCAGGAGACCGCCUUCGCUACCGGUGUUCUUCAUGAUAUCUACACAUUUCACCGCUACACCAUGAAUUCCAUCUCCCUCUGCCGCACUCAAGAUCCCCAGUAUCGAAGGCAAUUCCGCAGUUAAGCUGCGGGAUUUCACCACCGACUUAGGAACCCACCUACACGCCCUUUACACCCAGUAAUUCCGGACAACGCUCGGAUCCUACGUAUUACCGCGGCUGCUGGCACGUAGUUAGCCGAUCCUUAUUCGCAGGGUACGGUCAAUCCCGCGUAUAGCGAGACGUUCAUCCCCUGCAAAAGAGGUUUACAUCCUAACGGACUUCAUCCCUCACGCGGCGUCGCUGCGUCAGCCUUUCGCCCAUUGCGCAAUAUUCCUCACUGCUGCCCCCCGUAGG